RNAcentral lists this non-coding RNA (378 nucleotides) under Triticum aestivum (bread wheat). RNAcentral's name for it is "Eukaryotic small subunit ribosomal RNA". It matches the Rfam family "Eukaryotic small subunit ribosomal RNA", at positions 116 to 424 of the family's 1831-position model. Lineage: Eukaryota; Viridiplantae; Streptophyta; Magnoliopsida; Poales; Poaceae. The record is from Rfam by way of RNAcentral.
AUCAUGGGAUGAUGUGUUACGGAACGAGUAAAGAGACUUGCUGGUAACAAGAUUGAACAAGGUAUCGGGAUACCGACGAUCGAAUCUCGGGCAAGUACAAUACCGCUAGACAAAGGGAAUUGUAUACGGGAUCGAUUGAGUGGGAGGGGCGCAUUUAUUAGAUAAAAGGCUGACGCGGGCUCUGCUCGCUGAUCCGAUGAUUCAUGAUAACUCGACGGAUCGCACGGCCUUCGUGUCGGCGACGCAUCAUUCAAAUUUCUGCCCUAUCAACUUUCGAUGGUAGGAUAGGGGCCUACCAUGGUGGUGAUGGGUGACGGAGAAUUAGGGUUCGAUUCCGGAGAGGGAGCCUGAGAAACGGCUACCACAUCUCAUCCGAUG